GCAACAUCUGGACCGUCGGUCUACCGAGCAAAUAUCACCUGCUCGCUUGAAGAUCUUCCCUUUGUCGU
This 68-nucleotide microRNA precursor is filed under the name Bombyx mori (domestic silkworm). RNAcentral describes it as "mir-2774 microRNA precursor family". It matches the Rfam family "mir-2774 microRNA precursor family". The record is from Rfam by way of RNAcentral. Lineage: Eukaryota; Metazoa; Arthropoda; Insecta; Lepidoptera; Bombycidae.